RNAcentral lists this transfer RNA (88 nucleotides) under Prunus dulcis (almond). Its description in RNAcentral is "tRNA-Ser". Lineage: Eukaryota; Viridiplantae; Streptophyta; Magnoliopsida; Rosales; Rosaceae. The record is from RNAcentral.
CGAAAGAAAAUAUCGAGUCAUCAACAAAAACGGAAAGAGAGGGAUUCGAACCCUCGGUACGAAAAACUCGUACAACGGAUUAGCAAUC